RNAcentral lists this long non-coding RNA (695 nucleotides) under Olea europaea subsp. europaea. The record is from RNAcentral. Lineage: Eukaryota; Viridiplantae; Streptophyta; Magnoliopsida; Lamiales; Oleaceae.
UGUUUGGAAAGGUGUUCAUAUUGAAUAAAAAUACUUUUUAUUAAAUUACUUUUAUUCUCACAUUUCGUAAAAUUUAUUUUUUCUCAAUACAUUGACUUGUAAACAUGAACCAAAAAAAUCAAGCAGCCAAAGAAAGGAAAAUUUCAGCUAAUAAUGGGCCAUAGACCAGACUCAAAAGGUGCCUUGCCUUUAAAAAAAUUUGAUAAGUCGAUAAUAAAAAAUUUAAGAACCGUGGUGGUUGUGGUGGUUCCCUCCUACACCAAUAGCGACAUUUUCGUUGAUAUUAACAUACGAAGAUAUAUCAAAAAUUAUAAAUUUUUUUUUGAAUCAACAACAUAUAUCAAUUUCAAUUAGAAUCAUCGACGGUCGUAUGUUAACCGAUCACCAAGAAGUUCUGGUGAUUGAAAUACCUUCAAUGAUUUCUGAUAAUAUCAAUGACGACAUUUAAUGUCGCUGAUUACUACAUAAUGUGUGCCAAUAACCACAAAUGUUGUGGUUGUCAAUAAAUUCAUUUAAGUAACCGACAAAUGUUGAUCUCAAUCAGAAUUAUCAACUAUCAUGCCGUCGAUGAUCAACGAUUGAAUUUUGUCAAUUAUAUCGUUCCCUUAAUUUAUCUAAGGAUGAAUGAAUUUGUUAUUUAUUUACCGUAGUGGGUACGUAUUAAAUGCAAUAUACUCAAUAAGUAAUUGAUAGAA